AGGAAGAUGGGAUAUUCAUCAGUAUUAGCAAGAAGUCUAUUAGCUUUUCAGCAAAUUUGGUUCUUAAACAAUUUGGAUACAGAAUUAAACUUCUCCAGACGUUGGCCGAGAUCAAGAAUUAGUCUUGGUUUCCUUAACGUAGGAAAUACGUGCAUACAAAGUGCCUCUUAGUCUCCUGUAAUUCUGAUCUCUAUAGACCUGGGAAUGCUCUGUCUUUAUGUUAUAACACUGUUUCUGCGCCAUCUGUUGACGUAGCCAACGUUCAUAUAUGUAUGCAAAAUAAUAGUCACCGAGCAAAUUUCCAAGUAAACUAUCAAUCAAAUUUCAGUUCAUCGGUGAAUCCCACUGUAGUUGAUAUUGUCCUGAAAUUGAUUGAAUUGACUUGGUGAGUCGUUUUAGUCUACAAUGAGAUGAGGAAGAACAAUUAAAUUUCGAUAUAUAUAAUCUUAAUACAGGAAAGGAUACUUUUUGCACAUCAUGUAGAAUGAAACAGUGUACAGUCAAGGUUGCAGUACUACUGUCCUAACAAUUGUAAAGACUAGUAAGUAGCUGUAGACUAAAACACAUAUCAGUUGUGAUUUGUCUGCUGAUGGUGCAAUUUUUAUGUGUACGCCUUGAGUUUUGUAUGCCCAUGUAUGCGUAUCAGGUGGUUACUUAAUGCUCUGGUUGUGGAAAUUGGAAAGGGAAUCUGGUUACUGUUGUGAUGAUUGAUUAAAAUUUCGUUUGCUCUGAUACUUUGUGCUGGAUUUGCAGCUCCCGUUGAUGUUUCGGUGUGCAUCACAAGCCCUCAAACUAGAUUUGACUGAUUGAACUCAGACUGCAAAACGUUAGAACUCUCAGAUAAUGCUAUUAUCUGAAGCUUCCCGAUUUUUCGGAUAAGCAUUGAAAGUUUGGAUUAGCACGGACACCUCUCAACUGUAGUAGCAUUAUUCAGCAAGAGCCAAGUGAUAGGAACUGGACAAAACCUAAUUGACCUGUUCUUUCUGAACUUUUAUAGAGGCAUUGGCUAUGGAAUCCCUAUUGCUAUCUGGAAAUUAAUUGUUGUGCAUGAUAAGAUUCCCAGUCACCAUUGCUGGGACCACAUCUUGUUGCUGUAUUUGAA
Molecule: long non-coding RNA, 1102 nt
Filed under: Citrus sinensis (sweet orange)
Lineage: Eukaryota; Viridiplantae; Streptophyta; Magnoliopsida; Sapindales; Rutaceae
Description: long non-coding RNA (CSIN_LNC002676)
Source: RNAcentral